Molecule: ribosomal RNA, 247 nt
Filed under: uncultured bacterium
Lineage: Bacteria
Description: partial 16S ribosomal RNA
Rfam family: Bacterial small subunit ribosomal RNA
Source: RNAcentral
GAGCCGGUGACGGUAAGGCGAAACCCCCACGAAAAAGCCAUCUCAGUUCGGAUUGCAGCCUGCAACUCGGCUGCAUGAAGUUGGAUUCGCUAGUAAUCGCGCAUCAGCCAUGGCGCGGUGAAUACGUUCCCGGGCCUUGUACACACCGCCCGUCAAGCCAUGGGAGCCGGGGGCGCCUGAAGUCCGGGACCGCGAGGACCGGCCUAGGGCGAAACUGGUAACUGGGGCUAAGUCGUAACAAGGUAUC